UGCUUUUCACUAGGCCCAGAGGAAUAGCA
RNAcentral lists this non-coding RNA (29 nucleotides) under Mus musculus (house mouse). The record is from RNAcentral. Lineage: Eukaryota; Metazoa; Chordata; Mammalia; Rodentia; Muridae.